UAAGCCCAUGGGUGUGUUGGGAUUUAAACUCUGUACCUCAAUGCUUCUGAUCAUUUCGUGGUAGGUUGAUACUCCUCGCAGGCUAAUUUAGCAUCUCUUUAUUAUUGCUUUAUUGAACUUGCAUACAUUCGCAGGCUUAUUUGCUCAAUUUAAGCUUGUAAACCUUUGUCAAGUAGAAGGACAGAUAGAACAAUUUAGAGAAGGACGUCACGACGAAUACAUCCAGGGUUAGGAAGGGAUUCGAACCAGCUACCUCAACGCUUCACACUGCGUUUGACAGGCGGUACCGCUCGGCCAGGGAGGCCUCUUAGCAUCUCCGCAAAUUUGAAAGUAAAGAAGAAAAAAAAAACAGUGGACGGAAGCGUUCUCACGUGAAGUAGUCGUUCUAUAAAAGCGAUUCAUUUUGUGUUUCUUUUCUUUCUGUACAAAACACUGUAUCUUUUGAGUGUACGGAAAAGUGUGUUGUGUUUCUAGGUUUAUGAUCAAACUUUGGAUGGGCGUUUUCGCUUCGUCGUAGUUUAUUUCUCUUAACACAUUGCGAACACCUGAAGUGCUCAAAUUUCAACUGUGCCUAGUAAAAAGCUACUUUUCCUAUACUAGAAAAAACUGGUUUCCUAUACUAGGUAAACUGUUUAUUUCUAUUUGUACUGAUUAACCUUAACAAAGUACACAUCAAUCAGCACCCGCUCUUUCAUUUUAUGCAAUUACAUCAGUUGAAUAUUAUCGUAAAUUAAAGUUAUGCAGCUUAAACUAUUUUUACAAAUUGUUUACUUUUCUGCAAGAAAUGUUGGUUAAUAUCUGUGUUCUAUGGUACAAAGAACAAAUAUGUAGAAAUUUUCAAAUAAAAAUUACCCAAAGUCUUAAAUUAGAAUCUUAUUUAAAAAAAUUAAUGCAGACAUUUAUAUCUUACAUCUGCAAUAGAAAACCUCAAUGAAUUAGCUUUAACACCACUUUAUACACUAUUUGAGAAUUGUCGUGAACAACUUUUAUUUUGCAUAGUUUGGAUACCGCUAGUAGUUUGCUAACAUUAAAGUAGGACAUAGCUUAAAUUUCUUCCAUGCUGCUGAAAUUCUAAGUAAAAAAAAUUCACUGUUUCAAAAUGUGUGUUUUCAGUUACAUAAUAAGGAUAAUUAUAAUUUUCGAACAGCUGUAAAUUUUAUUCAUUAUAUAACUUCCUGUUAAGCUUAAUUCGACUUCAUAUCUGUACUAUGUAGGCCUCAUUUCUAAAAUUGUAAAUUUUUAAAUUGUGUGUUUGCCUCCUAUGCUAUUAUUUUAAAUUGAUAAGUUUAUUGAGUAAUGUGCAUCUUAUCAUACUCUCGUAAAUUUUAGUGUUUACUUAACAGCUAAGUUGGUGUCAACUAUUUUACAUCAAAAGUAGAAUAUCGGAACAUUCAAAGUGCUUCUUUUAGUAACUUUUAGUGUUGAGAUACACUUUAAGGGUUGAGAUUUUAUGAGGCGUUAAAUGGGUUAUAACUAUUCAGAUUAGCUCCUCGAAACAAUCAACGGGAACUCACUGUGAGGCGUUAAAGUGUUUUAGAUGUCUAAUAGAUGUCCUCUUUCUCGCCAAGAUUUCCCAGCUGUUCACUUCUAGUGUUUUGAAA
This is a non-coding RNA of Parasteatoda tepidariorum (common house spider), 1601 nucleotides long. The record is from RefSeq and is a predicted model, not a curated record. NCBI's taxonomy places the organism in Eukaryota, Metazoa, Arthropoda, Arachnida, Araneae, Theridiidae.